RNAcentral lists this unclassified non-coding RNA (814 nucleotides) under Hevea brasiliensis (rubber tree). The record is from RNAcentral. Lineage: Eukaryota; Viridiplantae; Streptophyta; Magnoliopsida; Malpighiales; Euphorbiaceae.
AUCAUCUCUUUCUCUCUCACGCUUUCCGCUCACUCACCUUCUCCCAUCCCGUUUCCAAGAAAACAAACGUCAUUUUCUUUUUUUAGUUUUCUCCGACGACCAAGAACUUUAACCGGUUAUCCCAAGUCACCCUGACUUCUCAUUCUUCGUUAAGUUUCCUCUUCAUACCGGCAUAUCAACCUGUAAACAGUAAAACCAAGCCAGAAACUACUUUUUAACUGGAUAAGCUUCUUCUUAUUAUCAGUUUAUCAUGUAAGAUUAUUCAUUAUUAUUAUUAUUAUUCCUCUGUUGCUGUUGUUAUUAGCUAUGAACACCUUAUAUAAGAUAUGCAUAGUGCUUAUCGUCUUCUUCGUCAUCUCUUUGGUUCUUCUGGUGGUCGAGAUUUUCUACGUGCUUUGGCACCGGAGAAGAUUUUGGAGUGGGAGCGUCGCAGAUGGCGACGUGGAGUUCAGCGAUGAAUCAUUCUACCCGGCACCAUCAAAAGAGCUACUGUACUUCUUCUGCUGGAAGAACCAGACAUCUCGCAUCGAACUUGCUGGUGCAGAAACAACAGCAGCACCAGUAGCGACGGCUCCGCCACUCCCGCCGAUUAUGCUUGCUGAUGCCCAUGUGGAUGAGAUGCUGAAGCAGCAUGCACUAUACGGUCCAUCUAAGGUUUUGUUCACUAUAAAAGAAGAGGAAAAGGAGGAGAUGGAAACAGACUCGUCUUCUGCAGAGAACGGGGAGAGAAAAAGGAAAAAGAAGACGAAGAAGAAGUCGAGGAGCACCUCUUUGGAAGACGUUGCCGUUACUGCUGUGGUGAUUGACAUAGAUG